GAAUGUGAGGGCAAUCUGGCUGUGAUUUCUGUCACCCCAUUGAUCGCCAGGGUUGAUUUGGCUGAUCUGGCUGGCUAGGUAGGUGUCCCCUUGCUCCCUCCAAAUGCAUCCCUCGCAAAGCUGGGCUGUGUGCUUAGUCGAAGAGGACCACCACCCUCGCUAAAGGAGGAGGACCUCCUUCCGUCAGGGGUAUGGGAGUAGCUGCAUUCCCCUGCUAGAGCCUCCAGACAAGCUCUCAAGGUCCAUUUGUAGGGGAACAUACGGUAGUCAAGCUUCCAAGACUCCAGACACAGCGAAAUGAGGCACUGCAUAAGGCAGUCUGCCCUUCU
RNAcentral lists this small nuclear RNA (329 nucleotides) under Carlito syrichta (Philippine tarsier). Its description in RNAcentral is "7SK RNA (ENSTSYG00000023278.2)". It matches the Rfam family "7SK RNA". From Rfam's summary of the family: 7SK was discovered as an abundant small nuclear RNA in the mid-70s but a possible function has only recently been suggested. Lineage: Eukaryota; Metazoa; Chordata; Mammalia; Primates; Tarsiidae. The record is from RNAcentral.